Molecule: microRNA precursor, 105 nt
Filed under: Trialeurodes vaporariorum (greenhouse whitefly)
Lineage: Eukaryota; Metazoa; Arthropoda; Insecta; Hemiptera; Aleyrodidae
Description: microRNA mir-244
Source: RNAcentral
UAUAUAAUAUCACUUUCUCUUUGGAAACACAGAGGUAUGUCUCUAAAUCUAAAUUGACACAUACAUCUGUGUUUCCAAAGAGAAAGUGAUAUUAUUUAGGUAUCU